GUCCAGACUCCUACGGGAGGCAGCAGUGGGGAAUAUUGCACAAUGGGGGAAACCCUGAUGCAGCGACGCCGCGUGAGUGAAGAAGUAUUUCGGUAUGUAAAGCUCUAUCAGCAGGGAAGAAAAAAGACGGUACCUGACUAAGAAGCCCCGGCUAACUACGUGCCAGCAGCCGCGGUAAUACGUAGGGGGCAAGCGUUAUCCGGAAUUACUGGGUGUAAAGGGUGCGUAGGUGGCAUGGUAAGUCAGAAGUGAAAGCCCGGGGCUUAACCCCGGGACUGCUUUUGAAACUGUCAUGCUGGAGUGCAGGAGAGGUAAGCGGAAUUCCUAGUGUAGCGGUGAAAUGCGUAGAUAUCGCGCAGAACUCCGAUUGCGAAGGCAGCAUGCCGGCUCCACACUGACGCUGAGGCACGAAAGCGUGGGUAUCGAACAGGAUUAGAUACCCUCGUA
Molecule: ribosomal RNA, 447 nt
Filed under: uncultured bacterium
Lineage: Bacteria
Description: bacterial SSU rRNA
Rfam family: Bacterial small subunit ribosomal RNA
Source: RNAcentral